CUGAGGUGUGGAGGUUUAUUGAAGAAUGCAAAACUCGUGUUUGUUUGUUAAAGAAAAAGAAUGCUGGUAGAUAGCAAAUAGUAUGACAGGGUCCAAAGUAGAACAUGCUGUGCCAAGUAUUAAAUAAGUUCAUUGCUUUUUGCAUUUAGAUCGUGGGUGUCAACUUAUCAUAGCUCAUAGCAUGCUCCAUGCCAGGCCUUGAGGGUACCUGUUUCAUUUACAGAUGCUGUUGAGGUGGAAUUUGAGGAUCUCCCAGAAAUCAUCCAGAAAGAACUUUUAACACCUGUGGAAUCCUUAAGGUAUUACUCUCCCUUUAUAAAUCAGAAACACUGAUCCUUCUCUGAUGACUGCUUCUUGCUUCUGGACUUUAGAAACCUUGAAACCUCGAGAAGUUUCUUCAGCAAACUCCCUCUAUGAAGUAAAGCUAUCAAUACUUGGCAGCCAACAUUUUCAGAUUACAAUCCCUUCAGGACUGUGCCUUUCUAGGAACCUGGGAAAGAAAACAGUUUCAACAAUGAGUAGGCCAACCAUCAGUACCAACUACAGAUGACUUGCCAUUUCCUUUUCAAAGAUGUCGUCAGCUGCUGAAAAUGGAGACGCAGCACCUGGCAAACAAAAUGAAGAAAAAACCUAUAAAAAGGUGAGUGUAUUAUUUUCUGUCUUCCCUCAAAAAGAGGACCACUACUGUUCUACUGUUUGGCACUAAUAUUGUUAUACUGAUAUUGUUACAAUA
Molecule: long non-coding RNA, 733 nt
Filed under: Castor canadensis (American beaver)
Lineage: Eukaryota; Metazoa; Chordata; Mammalia; Rodentia; Castoridae
Description: lncRNA (ENSCCNG00000017955.1)
Source: RNAcentral